CAGCCGCCGCGGGAAUACGGAGGGGGCUAGCGCUGUUCGGAAUUACUGGGCGUAAAGCGCACGUAGGCGGCUUUUUAAGUCAGAGGUGAAAGCCCGGGGCUCAACUCCGGAACUGCCUUUGAGACUGGAAGGCUUGAACGUCGGAGAGGUGAGUGGAAUUCCGAGUGUAGAGGUGAAAUUCGUAGAUAUUCGGAAGAACACCAGUGGCGAAGGCGGCUCACUGGACGACUGUUGACGCUGAGGUGCGAAAGCGUGGGGAGCAAACAGGAUUAGAUACCCCCGUAGUCCCUGUCUCUUAUAC
Molecule: ribosomal RNA, 301 nt
Filed under: uncultured bacterium
Lineage: Bacteria
Description: partial 16S ribosomal RNA
Rfam family: Bacterial small subunit ribosomal RNA
Source: RNAcentral